CCUACGGGCGGCAGCAGUGAGGAAUAUUGGUCAAUGGCCGGAAGGCUGAACCAGCCAAGCCGCGUGAAGGACGAAGGUGCCAAGCAUGGUAAACUUCUUUUGUCAAGGGACAAAAUCAGGCGCGAGAGCCGGACCGAGGGGACUUGAAGAAAAAGCAUCGGCUAACUCCGUGCCAGCAGCCGCGGUAAUACGGAGGAUGCGAGCGUUAUCCGGAUGUAGUGGGUUUACGGGGUGCGUAGGCGGACUGUUAAGUCAGCGGGAAAAGCCCGGGGCCCACCCCCGGCGAGCCGUUGAAACUGGCUGUCUUGAGCUGUCGAGAGGUAUGCGGACUGCGCCUUGUAGCGGU
This 346-nucleotide ribosomal RNA is filed under the name uncultured bacterium. Its description in RNAcentral is "partial 16S ribosomal RNA". It matches the Rfam family "Bacterial small subunit ribosomal RNA", at positions 338 to 682 of the family's 1533-position model. The record is from RNAcentral.